GUUGGUGGAUCAAGCCAAUCAAGAACUUGCUUACUUCGACACUGCCAAGGCUGCUCCAUUAUACCAUUUCGCUAACUAUAUUGCCAGUCGACAAAAUUAAUUUCGUGGGUUUAUUAUUAUAUAAAAUUUACUUGUAUCCAUCAAUGUCUUCAUCUCUUGGUUUAAAGAUUUAAAAAUACAUAGAGAUAGAGAGAUAUAGUUCCUGUUAA
Molecule: unclassified non-coding RNA, 209 nt
Filed under: Hevea brasiliensis (rubber tree)
Lineage: Eukaryota; Viridiplantae; Streptophyta; Magnoliopsida; Malpighiales; Euphorbiaceae
Source: RNAcentral